This is a non-coding RNA of Heterocephalus glaber (naked mole-rat), 497 nucleotides long. The record is from RefSeq and is a predicted model, not a curated record. Lineage: Eukaryota; Metazoa; Chordata; Mammalia; Rodentia; Bathyergidae.
UCUGCAGACCGGGAGAUUCUCGCUGCAUCCUUCUAAGGAGGCUGGUCUUCCGGAGUCUGCUUUCUCCAUGUCAAAUGAUGUGGGGUUUUCAGCCUACACCAUCUACACCACUGCUGAUGACUACUUACUUCCCUGUCUGUUCUCUGACUGCCUCCACCCCUCGGGAGAGUGCACCACCUACCUGUCGGAUGGAGUCGCAGAGUCACCAGUUAUUCUUACUCUGUCACCUUCCAGUAGCUCCUAUGUCCUAUUCCUGUUCAAAGUCUUGUCCUAUAGCCAAAAUCUUUAUCUCCAGCAGAGGCACAUGGACUUGAUCUCCUACAUCCUUUUGUGAGAUCAACAUGGUCUUGCCUCUGUUGAGGUGGAGGAGUAUGAAGAUUAAAGGUUGACCAAACCCAUGCCAACCCACAUUGUUUACCGUGACUGCCGUAGCACCUUUAAAUUACUAAAUGUCCUGCUGGCCUGUUUCCUACUGAAGAAUAAAGUCACAGUCUAAA